Molecule: ribosomal RNA, 428 nt
Filed under: uncultured prokaryote
Description: bacterial SSU rRNA
Rfam family: Bacterial small subunit ribosomal RNA
Source: RNAcentral
UCGAGAGGCUUCCACAAUGGGGGAAACCCUGAUGGAGCGACGCCGCGUGGGUGAUGAAGGUCUUCGGAUCGUAAAGCCCUUUCAGCAAGGAAGAAUGAACGAAUGAUAAUACCAUUAUGUUCAAGACGGUACUUGCAGAAGAAGCUCCGGCUAACUCCGUGCCAGCAGCCGCGGUAAGACGGAGGGAGCAAGCGUUGUUCGGAUUUACUGGGCGGAAAGGGCGUCUAGGCGGGUUGGUCAGUCAGGGGUGAAACCCCUCGGCUCAACCGGGGAUCUGCACUUGAUACUGCCAAUCUUGAGUAUGGAAGAGGAAAGCGGAAUUCCAGGUGUAGCGGUGAAAUGCGUAGAUAUCUGGAAGAACACCGGUGGCGAAGGCGGCUUUCUGGUCCAAUACUGACGCUAAAGCGCGAAAGUGUGGGGAGCAAACA